CCUCUAGAUGAAGAUGAUCUGAUCUCGUAUAUUAUUACGGGAUUAGAUGAAGAUUUUGACCCUGUCGUGUCUGCUCUCAUCGCUAGGGCAGAACCGGCGGACCUGCGUGAAGUUACGUCUCAGCUGCUCAGCUUUGAGC
Molecule: small nucleolar RNA, 139 nt
Filed under: Leersia perrieri
Lineage: Eukaryota; Viridiplantae; Streptophyta; Magnoliopsida; Poales; Poaceae
Description: snoRNA snoZ247
Rfam family: Small nucleolar RNA Z247
About the family: Z247 is a member of the C/D class of snoRNA which contain the C (UGAUGA) and D (CUGA) box motifs. Most of the members of the box C/D family function in directing site-specific 2'-O-methylation of substrate RNAs.
Source: Rfam by way of RNAcentral